Molecule: ribosomal RNA, 425 nt
Filed under: uncultured bacterium
Lineage: Bacteria
Description: partial 16S ribosomal RNA
Rfam family: Bacterial small subunit ribosomal RNA
Source: RNAcentral
GUUAGGAAUAUUGGACAAUGGGCGCAAGCCUGAUCCAGCCAUGCCGCGUGAACGAUGAAGGCCUUCGGGUUGUAAAGUUCUUUAGCCGAUGAUAAUAAUGACUGUAGUCGGAAAAUAAGCCCCGGCUAACUUCGUGCCAGCAGCCGCGGUAAUACGAAGGGGGCGAGCGUUAUUCGGAAUCACUGGGCGUAAAGCGUGCGUAGGCGGUCUCGUAAGUUAGGAGUGAAAGCCCAGGGCUCAACCUUGGAAUUGCUCUUAAAACUGCAAGGCUAGAAGAUCGGAGAGGAUAGCGGAAGUGCCAGUGUAGCAGUGAUAUGCGUAGAUAUUGGAAGGAACACCAGUGGCGUAAGCGGCUAUCUGGUCGAGUAGUGACGCUGAGGCACGAAAGCGUGGGGAUCAAAGAGGAUUAGAAACCCCGGUAGUCC